AUUGAACGCUGGCGGAAUGCUUUACACAUGCAAGUCGAACGGCAGCACGGGGCAACCUGGUGGCGAGUGGCGAACGGGUGAGUAAUGCAUCGGAACGUACCUUUCAGUGGGGGAUAACGUAGCGAAAGUUACGCUAAUACCGCAUAUUCUGUGAGCAGGAAAGCAGGGGAUCGCAAGACCUUGCGCUGAUUGAGCGGCCGAUAUCAGAUUAGCUAGUUGGUGAGGUAAAGGCUCACCAAGGCGACGAUCUGUAGCGGGUCUGAGAGGAUGAUCCGCCACACUGGAACUGAGACACGGUCCAGACUCCUACGGGAGGCAGCAGUGGGGAAUUUUGCGCAAUGGGCGAAAGCCUGACGCAGCGACGCCGCGUGAGUGAUGAAGGCCUCGGUUGUAAGCUCUGUGGAGGGGGACGGAAGUAAGGGUUAGGCGUAACAUCCGGCUCGAUGACGGUACCCGUUUUAGUCAAGCACCGGCUAACUCUGUGCCAGCAGCCG
Molecule: ribosomal RNA, 494 nt
Filed under: uncultured bacterium
Lineage: Bacteria
Description: bacterial SSU rRNA
Rfam family: Bacterial small subunit ribosomal RNA
Source: RNAcentral